AUUGAACGCUGGCGGCAGGCCUAACACAUGCAAGUCGAGCGGAUGAAGGGAGCUUGCUCCUGGAUUCAGCGGCGGACGGGUGAGUAAUGCCUAGGAAUCUGCCUGGUAGUGGGGGAUAACGUCCGGAAACGGGCGCUAAUACCGCAUACGUCCUGAGGGAGAAAGUGGGGGAUCUUCGGACCUCACGCUAUCAGAUGAGCCUAGGUCGGAUUAGCUAGUUGGUGGGGUAAUGGCCUACCAAGGCGACGAUCCGUAACUGGUCUGAUAGGAUGAUCAGUCACCUUGGAACUGGGCCACGGACCAUGGUCCUGAGGGAGGGCGCAGACUGGAACGUUAGACAGCGGGCGGAAGUCUUGCCCAGCCGGGCCGCGUCUGUGGAGAAGGUGUUCCGAUCGUAAAGCACGCUAAGUUGUUGGGAAGCGCUUUAAGUUAUUACCUAGCUGUUGUGACGGUACUGGCUGAAGAAGCACCGGCUAACUACGUG
This 484-nucleotide ribosomal RNA is filed under the name uncultured bacterium. Its description in RNAcentral is "partial 16S ribosomal RNA". It matches the Rfam family "Bacterial small subunit ribosomal RNA", at positions 30 to 507 of the family's 1533-position model. The record is from RNAcentral.